Molecule: long non-coding RNA, 7270 nt
Filed under: Salmo salar (Atlantic salmon)
Lineage: Eukaryota; Metazoa; Chordata; Actinopteri; Salmoniformes; Salmonidae
Description: lncRNA (ENSSSAG00000121861.1)
Source: RNAcentral
CAUAGACAUUUUAUUUUUCUCCAUCAUCCACACUGUUCAAAGUCAUUUAGAUGAUAAUUAUGUACCCACCAGAAACUAUUGACAACAGUUCGAAUGAAUAUGGCUCCAAAUUGAGUCUUGAAGAAAUUAUCCAGCUGAAAAAAAUGGACACCGAAUAAUACGUUUUAUUAUAUUAACAAUUAAACAAUGUAAGGAUGGUAUCAAGAUGGCAUAUGAUGAAUUAAAAUGAAGAUGAUCAUGAAGAAGAUGAUCAUGAUUAUGAUCUUGUGAAGCUCCUUUCAGAACAACUAACGACACUAUCAAUGGUAAAAUUAAAUCAAAUUAGUUACCUGGGUAGCCACUUGAUUUGCCAAUUUCAGGAACUCUGGUGAACUGCUGUUGAUCAGAGAGCUAUUGAAGGUCAAUGUUAGGCUGAACUGCAGUGACAAUUGAAGUGUGGUCGGUGGAGCAUCUGUUGCUGAGGUUAACUUUGUAGCUGUUGUGUUGACUACUGUGGUACUUACGCACAUGCAUUUACACACAAACUGUUGGUGAACUGCAUCCCCUUUUGACUUCCCACACUGUUUAUCACUAUCCAGCUGAGUCUGUUCCUUUCCCUCAAGGUUAGAAACCUCUGGCAGUUUUUACUCCUUUUACCAUCUGUCCUCUGUGACCAUGGGCACACUAAAUACUCACACACAUUUCUUUCCCUCUACAGCCUCUACUAGAUUUUCUGGGACUAAUCGGACUAAUCAAUCACUACAUUGAUCAUUACAUUGAUUAUUCAUUAACCAUGCUGUAUGACUAAUAAUUCAUCAUGGUUUAUUGAUUCAUUUAGCUUUAUUAGAUAAUUCUCUUAUCAAUUCCACCCUUAAAUGAUUAAAUAAUUCACCAUGAUGAUCAAACGCUAUAUGGGAACACUACUAAUCACAUGCUAUAUGUAACACAAUUAAUCACAUGCUAUAUGUAAGCACUAUUAAUCACAUGCUAUAUGUAAACACAAUUAAUCACACGCUAUAAGUAAACACAAUUGUGAUACAAGACUUUAACAAAACCAAGACAUGAAUAUUCCUCCUAUACUCAUCAAUGACUGUCCUAGGCCUAUUUCCAAUUAUGACACUUCGAUUCAGGAUUUUCAUCAUAAUUUUCAUUAAAGGAACAGUCAAUCUAAACGUUGAAAAUUGUUUCAUCAAACAUUGGCAUCUCAUGAUAAUAAAAAGAAACGGAGCCAUCUUCCUGGCCUGGAGGGCCGCAUUCGCCAUCCCACUGAUCGGUGCUCGGAAUCGGUCCAUAUCUCACCAACUGCUGCGUCAUCGAUCUCUCGAGAGUCCUGGUGAUUAAACCUCUAGCACGGGACGAUACAACAUCCACACAACACAAACACACUCAUACAGGUGAAAGCAGCCCAUAAUACAGUUCUUACCACACUUUUCCAUUUCCCAAACAUGGGCUGUGUUAUCAGGAAUGUACGUGCAGCAAUGAACCUAAUCAUUCUACCUACACCGCCCUCUUCUGCCAAUAACAUAUCGCGAGUCAGUCUAUUUUACCCGGCCAUGAGGGAGAUGGCGGAUAAUUGGUCAGAGAACCUCUUUACUGCAUCCCCGGUUUCAUUCAUGAAUCUCUGUUGAUUAUAAAAGGUGUCAUUAAUCCAAUCCACAUUUUUAUUUAUUGUCAACCACCAAAAUAAUGUAGUGUUAAAGCCUUCACAUAUUUGAUUCACAGCUUUGUAUUCAUCUGGAACUUCCCUGAAGAUGCCAAUAGCAUCCAUCUAGACAAAGCUACUCCCAUCCUGGUCAAAACUCCUCCUGUGCCUACUUUAGCCUCCUAUAACUGGCCUCUGAUGACUAACUCGAACUGGUUGGACCUAUAACCCCACCCUUUGUGGUAAUUUGUCGUAUGCUUCCUUUGCUGGUACUAGCCCACCCUACAUCAGUUAUAGGUGCUGGGUUAGCUGGAGGAGCUGUUGUGUUAACAAUAUUUGUCGUUGAAGCUGCUGUGGUCGUUGUGGGAGCAUCUGUGGGUGUUGUGGGGAUGGCUGUGGUUGUUGUGCGAGGAUCUGUGGUUUUUGUUGGAGCAGCUGUGGUAGUUGUUGGAGACGCUGUAGUUGAUUUGGGAGCAGUUGUUGUUGUUGUUGGAGUAUCUGUGGUUGUUUUAGCCCCAAUUGUAGUUGUCGUUGGAGCUUCUGGGGUUGUUGUGGAUGUAUCUGUGGUUGUUUUGGGAGAUUCUGUGGUUAUUGUGGGAGCAGCUGUGGUUGUUGUGCGAGCAGCUGUGGUUGUUAUGCGAGCAGCUGUGGUGGUUGUGGGAGCAUCUGUGGUUGUUGUGAGAGUUGAUGUGGUUGUUGUUGGAGUAUCUGUGGUUGUUGUCGCUCCAGUUGUAGUUGUCAUUGGAGCUACUGUGGUUGUGUUGGGAGCAGAUGUGGGUGUUCUGAGGAUAGAUGUGGUUGUUGUGGGUGCAUCUGUGGUUGUUGUGGGAGAUUCUAUGGUUAUUGUGGAAACAGCUGUGGUUGUUGUGGGAGCAGCUGUGCUUGUUGUGCGAGCAGCUGUGGUUGUUGUGGGAGAAGCUGUGGUUGAUGUGGGAGCAGCUGUGGUUGUUUUAGGAGUAUCUGUUGUUGUUGUAGCCCUAAAUGUAGUUGUCGUUGGAGCUGAUGUUGUUGCUGUGGGAGAAGCUGUGGUUGUUGUGGGGACGGCUGUGUUUGUUGUGGGUGCGUCUUUGGCUGUUGUUGGAGAAGCAGUGGUUGUUGUUGGAGAAGCUGUGGUUGUUGUGGUGCUAAGGAUGUUGUGGAUGUAUCUGUGGUUGUUGUGGGAGCAACUGUCAUUGUUGUUGAGGCAGUUGUGGUUGUUGUUGGAGUAUCUGUGGUUGUUGUAGCCCCAAAUGUAUUUGUCUUUUGAGCUGCUGAAGAUGUUGUGGGAGCAUCAGUGGUUGUUGUUGGAACAUCUGGGGUUGUUGUCGGAGCAGCUGUGGUUGUUGUGGGAGCAGCUGUGGUUGUUGUGGGAGCAGCUGUGGUUGUUGUGGGAGAAGCUGUGGUUGAUGUGGGAGCAGCUGUGGUUAUUGUGUGAGCAGCUGUGUUUGUUUUGGGAGUAUCUGUAGUUCUUGUAGCCCCAAAUGUAGUUGUCGUUGGAGCUGCUAUGGUUGUUGUGGGAGAAGCUGUGGGUGAUGUGGGUGCAGCUGUGGUUGUUGUGGGAACAACUGUGGUUGUUGUGGGAGCAGCUGUGGUUGUUGUGAGAGCAGCUGUGGUUGUUGUGAGAGCAGCUUUGGUUGUUGUGGGAGCAGCUGUGUUUGUUGAGGUAUCAGCUGUGGCUGUUGGUAGAGCAGCUCUGGUUGUUGUGGGAGCAGCAAUGGUUGUUGUGGGAGAAACUGUGGUUGUUGUGGGAGAAGUAGUGGUUGUUGUUGGAGCCACUGUGGUUGUUGUGGGUGCAGAUGUGCUUGUUGUUGGAGCCACUAUGGUUGUUGUUGGAAAGUCUGGGGUUGUUGUCAGAGCAGCUGUGGUUGUUGUGGGAGCAACCGUGGUUGUUGUGGGAGCAGCUGUGGUUGCUUUGGGUGCAGAUGUGGUUGUUGUUGGAGCCACAGUGGUUGUUGUUGGAACGUCUGGGGUUGUUGUCGGAGCAUCUGUGGUUGUUGUGGGAAAAGCUGUGGUUGUUGUGGGAGUAGCUGUGGUUGUUGUGGGAGCCACUGUGUUUGUUGUAGGAGAAGCUGUGAGUGUUGGGAGAGCAUCUGUGGUUGUUAUGGGAGCAGCUGUGGUUGUUGUUGGAGCAGCUGUGGUUGUUGUUGGAGAAGCCGUGGUUGUUGUUGGAACAUAUUAGGUUGUUGUCAGAGAAGCUGUGGUUGUUUUGGGAACAGCUGUGGAUGUUGUGGGAGCAACUGUGGUUGGUGUAGGAGCAGCUGUGGAUGUUGUGGGACCAGCUGUGUUUGUUGUGGUAUCAGCUGUGGCUGUUGUUAAAGCAGAUGUGGUGGUUGUGGGAGCAUCUCUGGUUGUUGUGGUAGCAGCUGUGGCUGUUGUUAGAGCAGCUGUGGUUGUUGUGGGAGAAGCUGUGGUUGUUGUGGGAGAAGUAGUGGUUGUUGUUGGAGCCACCGUGGUUGCUGUUGGAGCCACUGUGGUUGUUUUUUGAAAGUCUGGGGUUGUUGUCGGAGCAUCUGUGGUUGUUGUGGAAACAGCUGUGAUUGUUGUGGAAGCAACCGUCGUUGUUGUGGGAGAAGCUGUGGUUGUUGUGGGUGAUGAUGUGGUUGUUGUUGGAGCCACUGUGGUUGUUGUUGGAUCAUCUAUGGUUGUUGUCGGAGCAGCUGUGGUUGUUGUUGGAAAAGCUGUGGUUGUUGUGGGAGCAACAGUGGUUCUUGUGGGAGCAGCUGUGGUUGUUAUGGGAACAGCUGUGGUUGUUGUGGGUGAUGAUGUGGUUGUUGUUGGAGCCACUGUGGUUGUUGUUGGAUCAUCUGUGGUUGUUGUCGGAGCAGCUGUGGUUGUUGUUGGAGCCACUGUGGUGGUUGUGGGAGGAUCUUCGGUUGUUGUGGGAGCAUCUUCGGUUGUUGUGGGUGGAUCUGUGGUUGUUGUGGGAGAAGCUGUGGUUGUUAUGGGAGAAGCAGUGGUUGUUGUUGGAGCCAAUGUCGUUGUUGUGGUUGCAGAUGUGGUUGUUGUUGGAGCUUCUGUAGUGGUUGUGGGAGCAUCUUUGGUUGUUGUGGGAGCAGCUGUGGUUGUUGUGGGUGCAUCUGUGGUUUUUGUGGGAGAAGCUGUGGUUGUUGUUGGAGCAGCUGUAGUUGUUUAUGGAACAUCUGUGGUUGUUGUGGGAGCAUCUUCGGUUGUUGUGGGAGCAUCUUCGGUUGUUGUGGGUGGAUCUGUGGUUGUUGUUGGAGCAGCUGUGGAUGUUGUGGGAGCAGCUGUGGUUGUUGUGGGAGCAACUGUGGUUGUUGUGGGAGCAUCUGUGGUUGUUGUGGGUGCAGAUGUGGUUGUUGUUGGAUCAUCUGGGGUUGUUGUUUUAGCAGCUAUGGUUGUUGUUGGAACAUCUGUGGUUGUUGUGGGAGCAGCUGUGGUUGUUGUGGGUGCAUCUGUGGUUGUUGUGGGAGAUUCUGUGAUUGUUGUCGGAGCAGCUGUGGUUGUUGUGGGAGAAGCUGUGUUUGUUGUGGGAGAAGCAGUGGUUGUUGUUGGAGCCACUGUAGUUGUUGUGGUUGCAGAUGUGGUUGUUGUUGGAGCCACUGUGGUUGUUGAUGGAACGUCUGAGGUGGUUGUCGGAGCAGCUGUGGUUGUUGUUGGAACAUCUGUGGUUGUUGUUGGAGCAGCUGUGGUUGUUGUUGGAACAUCUGUGGUUGUUGUGGGAGCAGAUGUGGUUGUUGUGGGUCCAUCUGUGGUUGUUGUGGCCACUGUAGUUGUUGUGGUUGCAGAUGUGGUUGUUGUUGGAGCCACUGUGGUUGUUGAUGGAACGUCUGAGGUUGUUGUCGGAGCAGCUGUGGUUGUUGUUGGAACAUCUGUGGUUGUUGUUGGAGCAGCUGUGGUUGUUGUUGGAACAUCUGUGGUUGUUGUGGGAGCAGCUGUGGUUGUUGUGGGUGCAUCUGUGGUUGUUGCGGGAGAUUCUUUGGUUGUUGUCGGAGCAGCUGUGGUUGUUGUGGGAGAAGCUGUGUUUGUUGUGGGAGAAGGAGUGGUUGUUGUUGGGGCCACUGUAGUUGUUGUGGUUGCAGAUGUGGUUGUUGUUGGAGCCACUGUGGUUGUUGAUGGAACGUCUGAGGUUGUUGUCGGAGCAGCUGUGGUUGUUGUUGGAAUAUCUGUGGUUGUUGUUGGAGCAGCUGUGGUUGUUCUGGGUGCAUCUGUGGUUGUUGUGGGAGAUUCUGUGGUUGUUGUCAGAGCAGCUGUGGUUGUUGUGGGAGAAGCUGCGUUUGUUGUGGGAAAAGCAGUGGUUGUUAUUGGAGCCACUCUGGUUGUUGUGGUUGCAGAUGUGGUUGUUGUUGGAGCAGCUGUGGUUGUUGUGGGAACAGCUGUGACUGUUGUGGGAGCAGCUGUGGUUGUUGUUGGAGCAGCUGUGGUUGUUGUUGGAGCCACUGUGGUUGUUGUGGGUGCAGAUGUGGUUGUUGUUUGAACAUCUCGGGUUGUUGUCGGAGAUGAUGUGGUUGUUGUGGGAGCAGCUGUGGUUGUUGUGGGAGAAGCUGUGGUUGUUGUUGGAGCCGCUGUGGUUGUUGUGGGUGCAUAUGUGGUUGAUGUUGGAGCCACUGUGGUUGUUGUUGGAACAUCUGGGGUUGUUGUUGGAGCAGCUGUGGUUGUUGUUGGAACAUCUCGGGUUGUUGUCAGGGAAGAUGUGGUUGUUGUGGGAGCAGCUGUGGUUGUUGUGGGAACAGCUGUGGUUGUUGUGGGAGCAGCUGUGGUUGUUGUGGGAGCAGCUGUGGUUGUUGUUGGAGCAGCUGUGGUUGUUGUUGGAGCAGCUGUGGUUGUUGUGGGAGCAGCUGUGUUUGUUGUGGUAUCAGCUGUGGUUGUUGUGGGAGCAACCGUGGUUGUUGUGGGAGCAGCUGUGGUUGUUGUGGGAGAAGCUGUGGUUGUUGUUGGAGCAGCUGUGGUUGUUGUGGGAGCAGAAGUGGUUGUUGCUGGAGCAGCUGUAGGUUUUGUGGGAGAAGCUGUUGUUGUAGCAGCAGCUGUGGUCGUUAUGAGGGAAGCUGUGGUUGUUGUUGGAGCAGCUGUGUUAUUGUUGAAUACUAGCAGAAUAUAUACCACAACCGAACCUUUACUGGAAAACAAAACAAAACCUUUUUUUAUUAGUCCAUCAGCAAGUCAUGGUCAUAUUAUUAUUAUUUUUGGAAUUAUAUACAAUUAAAUACAUGACUUAUUAACCUCUAAAUUAAUUGAUAAAUAUAAUGUGAAUCUACUAAAGAAACCCAAGAAUGUCCCAAUGUGAAUAACUACCUACCUGAAACCAAGAACCACUGUGCGAUUGAAACUGGAUCCAUUUUUGUCUUUGCAAUCACUGUCCAGCUGUAAAUAUAAGUGUUAUUUCUCAUAUUUAGUCAUGAAUACAUCCUAAAUUGUUGAAAAUCUAUCAGAAGGUACAGCUGAAGAUAAAUAGUAUAACAUAAAAAAAGGCAUAACUAAUCAUAGUUAAAAUCAUUGACUUUAUUUGAAGGUCUGCUUAUUAACUGCUUAUCAUGAUCAAAUAUUUAAUGGUUUCCUCAAACUAUUUAUAAAUCAUAUAGAAUAUGUUCACAUAUUUGUUCACAGAAAGUAGUACCUUCAAAUAAAGAGUUGCCUUUUAUUCAUUGAAUGAAUACAAUUUGAAAUACUUUACUUAAUUUAAUUAACUGAAAGUGACUUAAAGGACCAAUCAGC